GAGGGCAUGCAGGCUUGCAAACCAGAUUUUGCGGUUUCGAUUUCGAGAUUCGCAAGUGAGAAAGAACUUGUGUGGAUGAAUGUGCGACAACGUAGGGGGCCCCCAUUCCGAAACUCUGGAUGACAUGCCACAUAUUGUCCCUUU
Caenorhabditis elegans is the source of this 144-nucleotide non-coding RNA. The record is from Ensembl. NCBI's taxonomy places the organism in Eukaryota, Metazoa, Nematoda, Chromadorea, Rhabditida, Rhabditidae.